UACGUAGGGGGCUAGCGUUGUCCGGAAUCAUUGGGCGUAAAGCGCGUGUAGGCGGCCCGGUAAGUCCGCUGUGAAAGUCGGGGGCUCAACCCUCGGAUGCCGGUGGAUACUGUCGGGCUUGAGUACGGAAGAGGAGAGUGGAAUUCCUGGUGUAGCGGCGAAAUGCGCAGAUAUCAGGAGGAACACCGAUUGCGAAGGCAGCUCGCUGGGAAGUUACUGACGCUGAGACGCGAAAGCGUGGGGAGCAAACAGG
Molecule: ribosomal RNA, 253 nt
Filed under: uncultured bacterium
Lineage: Bacteria
Description: partial 16S ribosomal RNA
Rfam family: Bacterial small subunit ribosomal RNA
Source: RNAcentral